Molecule: ribosomal RNA, 521 nt
Filed under: uncultured miscellaneous Crenarchaeota group
Lineage: Archaea; Thermoproteati; Candidatus Bathyarchaeota
Description: bacterial SSU rRNA
Rfam family: Archaeal small subunit ribosomal RNA
Source: RNAcentral
GCGCGAAAACUCCGCAAUGCGCGAAAGCGUGACGGGGUCAUCCCGAGUGCCGUCCGCUGAGGAUGGCUUUUGCCUGGUCUAACUCGCCGGGUGAAUAAGGGGAGGGCAAGUCUGGUGUCAGCCGCCGCGGUAAUACCAGCUCCCCGAGUGGUUGGGACGAUUAUUGGGUCUAAAGCGUCCGUAGCCGGCCGGAAAAGUUCCCCGUUAAAUCCGACGAUCCAAUCGUUGGGCUGCGGGGAAUACUCUUCGGCUUGGGGGCGAGGGAGGUCGGCGGUAGUCCCGGGGUAGGGGCGAAAUCCUAUAAUCCCGGGAGGACCACCAGUGGCGAAGGCGGCCGACUAAAGCGCGCCCGACGGUGAGGGACGAAAGCUGGGGGAGCGAACGGGAUUAGAUACCCCGGUAGUCCCAGCUGUAAACGAUGCAGGCUAGGUGUUGGGACGGCCACGAGCUGUCCCAGUGCCGCAGGGAAGCCAUUAAGCCUGCCACCUGGGAAGUACGGCCGCAAGGCUGAAUUUCUAAAG